CCCUUAGAUGUCCUGGGCCGCACGCGCGCUACACUGAGUGUCUGAGAUACGAGUCUGCCUGGUCCGGCAAGGUCUAGGUAAUCGCUAAAAGACACAUCAUGCUUGGGAUAGAUUAUUGCAAAUAUUAAUCUUGAACGAGGAAUUCCUAGUAAACGCGAGUCAUCAGCUCGCAUUGAUUACGUCCCUGCCCUUUGUACACACCGCCCGUCGCACCUACCGAUUGAAUGGUUCGGUGAAGAUCUCGGACUUCGAUAUUUAUUCUUUAUUGAGUUUAUAUUGUGGGAAGUUAUCUAAACCUCAUCAUUUAGAGGAAGGUGAAGUCGUAACA
Molecule: ribosomal RNA, 328 nt
Filed under: uncultured eukaryote
Lineage: Eukaryota
Description: partial 18S ribosomal RNA
Rfam family: Eukaryotic small subunit ribosomal RNA
Source: RNAcentral